RNAcentral lists this ribosomal RNA (468 nucleotides) under uncultured bacterium. RNAcentral's name for it is "partial 16S ribosomal RNA". It matches the Rfam family "Bacterial small subunit ribosomal RNA", at positions 28 to 507 of the family's 1533-position model. The record is from RNAcentral.
GACGAACGCUGGCGGCGUGCUUAACACAUGCAAGUCGAACGGAAAGGCCCUGCUUUUGUGGGGUGCUCGAGUGGCGAACGGGUGAGUAACACGUGAGUAACCUGCCCUUGACUUUGGGAUAACUUCAGGAAACUGGGGCUAAUACCGGAUAGGAGCUCCUGCUGCAUGGUGGGGGUUGGAACGUUUCGGCGGUUGGGGAUGGACUCGCGGCUUAUCAGCUUGUUGGUGGGGUAGUGGCUUACCAAGGCUUUGACGGGUAGCCGGCCUGUGAGGGUGACCGGCCACAAUGGGACUAAGAGACGGCCCAGACUGCUACGGGAGGCAGCAGUGGGGAAUAUUGCACAAUGGGCGGGAGCCUGAUGCAGCAACGCCGGGUGCGGGAUGACGGCCUUCGGGUUGUGAACCGCUUUCGCCUGUGACGAAGCGUGAGUGACGGUAAUGGGUAAAGAAGCACCGGCUAACUACGUG